This 231-nucleotide ribosomal RNA is filed under the name uncultured bacterium. RNAcentral describes it as "partial 16S ribosomal RNA". It matches the Rfam family "Bacterial small subunit ribosomal RNA", at positions 794 to 1028 of the family's 1533-position model. The record is from RNAcentral.
UCCACGCCGUAAACGAUGGUCACUAGUUGUCGGGGCGCGAGCUUCGGUGACUAAGCGAAAGUGAUAAGUGACCCGCCUGGGGAGUACGAUCGCAAGGUUGAAACUCAAAGGAAUUGACGGGGGCCCGCACAAGCGGUGGAGCAUGUGGUUUAAUUCGAUGCAACGCGAAGAACCUUACCGGGGUUUGACAUGUCGAUGGCGCAGGUAGAGAUAUCUGUUUCUUUCGGGACG